Molecule: ribosomal RNA, 497 nt
Filed under: uncultured bacterium
Lineage: Bacteria
Description: partial 16S ribosomal RNA
Rfam family: Bacterial small subunit ribosomal RNA
Source: RNAcentral
GAUGAACGCUGGCGGCGUGCCUAAUACAUGCAAGUCGAGCGAACGGACGAGAAGCUUGCUUCUCUGAUGUUAGCGGCGGACGGGUGAGUAACACGUGGAUAACCUACCUAUAAGACUGGGAUAACUUCGGGAAACCGGAGCUAAUACCGGAUAAUAUUUUGAACCGCAUGGUUCAAAAGUGAAAGACGGUCUUGCUGUCACUUAUAGAUGGAUCCGCGCUGCAUUAGCUAGUUGGUAAGGUAACGGCUCACCAAGGCAACGAUGCAUAGCCGACCUGAGAGGGUGAUCGGCCACACUGGAACUGAGACACGGUCCAGACUCCUACGGGAGGCAGCAGUAGGGAAUCUUCCGCAAUGGGCGAAAGCCUGACGGAGCAACGCCGCGUGAGUGAUGAAGGUCUUCGGAUCGUAAAACUCUGUUAUUAGGGAAGAACAUAUGUGUAAGUAACUGUGCACAUCUUGAUGGUACCUAAUCAGAAAGCCACGGCUAACUACGUG